CCUACGGGCGGCAGCAGUGGGGAAUAUUGGGCAAUGGGCGCAAGCCUGACCCAGCAACGCCGCGUGAAGGAAGAAGGCUUUCGGGUUGUAAACUUCUUUUCUCAGGGACGAAGAAAGUGACGGUACCUGAGGAAUAAGCCACGGCUAACUACGUGCCAGCAGCCGCGGUAAUACGUAGGUGGCAAGCGUUAUCCGGAUUGACUGGGUGUAAAGGGCGGGUAGGCGGGGAAGUAAGUCAGAUGUGAAAACCACGGGCUCAACCUGUAGCCUGCAUUUGAAACUGUUUUUCUUGAGUACUGGAGAGGCAGACGGAAGUCGUGGUGUAGCGGUGAAAUGCGUAGAUAUUAGGAAGAACUCCGAUGGCGAAGGCAGUCUACUGGACAGCAACUGACGCUGAGGCGCGAAAGCGUGGGGAGCAAACAGGAUGAGAUACCCUUGUAGUC
Molecule: ribosomal RNA, 443 nt
Filed under: uncultured bacterium
Lineage: Bacteria
Description: partial 16S ribosomal RNA
Rfam family: Bacterial small subunit ribosomal RNA
Source: RNAcentral